RNAcentral lists this ribosomal RNA (666 nucleotides) under Triticum aestivum (bread wheat). Its description in RNAcentral is "partial small subunit ribosomal RNA". Lineage: Eukaryota; Viridiplantae; Streptophyta; Magnoliopsida; Poales; Poaceae. The record is from RNAcentral.
AUGAAGACUGGGGCCGCAACCGAGCUACACGGGGUCCGGUGUGGGUGCGGCGAGGCGGCAUGCCCAGAGUGGGCGGUGGUGGAGGUGCAGGGCACGCUGCAGCCGCAGCCCUGCUCCUCCGGCCGCAUCCAAGGCCUCCACAUCGGCCGCCUCUGCUCCACUUCCUCCGCCCCGUCCUCCAAGGAAAGAACCACGAACUCUCCUCGUGGCGGUCGGGCGCGAAGAAUAAGAUGGCGGGGCGGCGCCUGCUCACGGUGCCCAGACGCGGAGAGGAAGGCGGUUGGCUGGUGCUGGCUUGCCACCGCCGCGCGCAGAGAUGGAGGCGAUGGAGCAAGGAAGGUGGUGGGGCGGCUUGCGGUGGCGAGCAUGGAGAGGAAGGCCGCUCAGGGGAGCCCUGGUCGCGCGGGGAGGGAGGCGCGACAGCGUCCUGGGAGUGGUGCUCCGGCGGUGGCGUUGGAAGAAGGUGGACGGGGGGUUGGGCGCGACGCGGGAAGGGAGGUGGUGUGGCGGCACGGCAGGGAGGUGGUCCGGCAGCACAGGGAGGUGGUCGUGCGGGGGUGGAGGUGGUCGUGCAAGAGUGGAGCACGGGGAGAGACAGAGGUGGAGGAGAGGAUAAGGUGGGUGGGUUGGGGUGUUAGCAGAAUAAGCCCCGGGUGUGCAAAAUAA